Long non-coding RNA from Octopus sinensis (East Asian common octopus), 722 nucleotides. RefSeq lists it as uncharacterized. Lineage: Eukaryota; Metazoa; Mollusca; Cephalopoda; Octopoda; Octopodidae. The record is from RefSeq and is a predicted model, not a curated record. The transcript has 3 exons.
GCCCUGAAUUGAAAUGGUAUUUCCAAGUUUAUAUAAAUACAGGUGUAUAGUUUGUGUUGCAAUACAGUACUUCGUUUGGUGAAGACCAUAUCGCAGCACCUUUAGCGCUUCGUUGUACGCUUUCAGUGAAUUGACAGAUAACCAAUAAUGAAGACCACUAUCUCUCUUUUGUUUGCUAUGCUUUGCCUGUUUGCAGUCGCUUAUAAUUGCCCUGCCGCUGCAAAGGUACCUGCAGCAGUUGCUGAGGCACCUGCCGCUGUAGAUGUCGCCGCACCAGAAGUUGCCGCCGCAAAUGCACACCUGGCAGCUGAUGCCGCACACGUAGCCCCCGCAAAUGAGGCAGCCCUUGCUGAUGUUGUUGCAGCUGCCCCACACCGGCGAUAAAAUAAAAGAAUGGCCGAAUUCUAAUGCAAGCGAUCAAGUAGCAUACUUCCUUGGGCCAUCAUUUUUCGCCAGCUACGAAAUCAUCGCAAACGUAGUCCCCCAUCAUGAAAACGAUAAAGAAAUAAGUAGACAAACAACACCCACUUCCACAUACUGCUGUUUAAUAAAUCAAUAAGUGUAACUACAAUAACAAUAUUCAAUUAGUAAUUGAGUUUGAUGGAAUAUUCUGGAAGUGGAACCAACUAUAUUUCAAUAACGUCAGUGAUGUUUAAGUAUUAAUUCCAAGACAUUUGUAAAGAGUAAAUUUUAUUGAAAUAAACAUAAAUUAUUUUAUCAUA